AAUUCUUGCCAAAGAUGUGUUUUCAGGUGGAUUUCAACACUAAGCUAUGGUCAGUUGCAUAAGACGGCUGCCGGUUUUAGAGACAACACGCUGAGUUCCUAAGAAGGGCUGGGCUCAUGAGACUGGGCUCUGGAGGGCAUGGCCUCUGCAGGUGACUCAGUGCGGGGCUGAGGCCUGGUCAUCUCUGCACACCUGCUCCCACCAGCACCCAGCAUAGAAUGGUCAGGGCCCCACACAACCCAGGGAGUGGAGGGCAAUGACCAGCACUUAAUGUAUGUUUUAAAACUUCCAGUGUUUUGUGUGAGGCAGGCUUUUCAAGAGUAGACUUUUCCCAGAGGAAGAAAAGGCGAGCUUCCAGCUACAACAAACCGUAUCCUAGGAAUCUCGAUUCACACGAAACGACAAUGAAGAAUGGAAAGUCUGGUGUUUUAAACAAAUGGACAGAUAUAAAGUGAGCAUAGCUUUAGUCAUUACGCCCAGCCUCCUGAAUUGAGACGGACAAGAAUAAACCUGACUUCCCCCACAAAUAAAUCUGCAGACGUCACUUAUUCAUUCUCGGAUGUUCUAUUGCUCACGAUCUUCGUCGAGUGGAGAGAAGUUAGGCUCUCACGUUAAUCCAGUUCUAACUCAUGAGUCAAACUGAGACUGCAACAAAAGAACGCCCCUUUUUUCUUUUACAUGAUUUUCCUUUUCCC
RNAcentral lists this long non-coding RNA (695 nucleotides) under Homo sapiens (human). RNAcentral describes it as "HSALNT0144987". The record is from RNAcentral. Lineage: Eukaryota; Metazoa; Chordata; Mammalia; Primates; Hominidae.